Molecule: ribosomal RNA, 370 nt
Filed under: uncultured bacterium
Lineage: Bacteria
Description: bacterial SSU rRNA
Rfam family: Bacterial small subunit ribosomal RNA
Source: RNAcentral
AGAGGGUGCAAGCGUUAAUCGGAUUUACUGGGCGUAAAGGGCGCGUAGGUGGUAAAGCAAGUAAGAUGUGAAAGCCCUGGGCUUAACCUAGGAAGUGCAUCUUAAACUGCUUAACUAGAGUAUGGUAGAGGGUAGUGGAAUUUCCGGUGUAGCGGUGAAAUGCGUAGAUAUCGGAAGGAACGCCAGUGGUGAAGACGACUACCUGGACCAAUACUGACACUGAGGCGCGAAAGCGUGGGGAUCAAACAGGAUUAGAUACCCUGGUAGUCCACGCUGUAAACGAUGAGGACUGGAUGUCAGGCAGCUUGGCUGUUUGGUAUCGAAGCUAACGCGAUAAGUUCUCCGCCUGGGAAGUACGGUCGCAAGAUUA